UCCCCCCCUUUUAAUUUCACGAAGAGACAAAACCCCCAACCCCGCUCUCUCUCAUCAGAAAAUCGCCCCCAAACCCUUGCUUCUUCUCUGAAGUUCGCCGCCUUCAUCGAAGCUCACCGUUGCCAUCGUCGGAGAUCUCCGCCUCUGUCGAAUUUCACCGCCGCCUCCGUCGGACCAGCAACAUUAGCUUCAAGAAUCCCCGCCGUCUUCUCCUCCUCCAUCCGAUCAAACCCCCACCGAUCUCACCUCCGACUCCCUUCAAGAAUCUCCCUCCACCGUUCGAUCUCGCUCUGAACCCGAACGCUAACCCUAGCCUCCGCCACAGGCUCCGAUCAAGCUCCGAUGGGCUCGCAAUCUCAAUCAUUCUUUAGAUCGGCGCUCUCGAGCAUGGAGAAAGUUUACUUGACUAGGAAUCCGACUGCAAAAUCUGUUCUUGAAUCUGUGAGCUCGUCUGAUGGCAGUCCUGUGUGUUACGAUCACUUCGCUUUCCGAACAUUUGGGGUAGAUGGCCAUGGGAUUGAUUCCAUUGCGUCAUUCUUCUUGGAUUUUGGUUAUACUCAACGAGAUGAACUAAGGUUUCCAGCAAAAAAGCUGAGAGCUUUGUGGUUUGCUCCUCCUGAGACUGAGUACAGUAACAAAUGUAGCUUGCCUUUGCCUAGGAUUUUUAUAUCGGAGCUUCUUGUGGAUGAGUUGAAUUCUCAAAGUCAGGAAAUAAUUAGAAAAUAUGUUAAGAUUUCUGGAAAUGGAAAUAAAUAUGCGGCUUUGGCAAGCACUUUGGGACAUUUAACUUGGGAGAAACCAAUAUUUUCUGAUUAUCAACAGCUAGCAAGGUAACACGUAUGGCUCCAGGACGCAGGUCCGAAAAUGUCAUACAAUCGACUUCUGUGUCCGAGUCUGUGCCCGAGUUUGUGCCCGAGAGGAGGAUCUUGGUUGCUUCGAACCAGCCACCCUAGUGUACCCAUAACGAGCUACCCCACCCCGAGCCAUCAUCCAUUGCCCAGCCCGACCAACUAGAAAGCCCUCAAACGAUCGGGAGCAGCGUAGGACUUCUUAGUGGAGCUUAAUCUGUCAUUAAGCCUUCGGUGAUUUUUGUAAGGAUCUGUACCAUCGGCCCGUAUAAAUGUACGCGGUGCAACACGAGGGAAGGGGAUAGAGAGAUUGGUGAGACAAUUCUUGAAACUCGUUGGACGUAAGCUGGGUUCAUUUUAAUCCUUACCCAAUUCAGAACAAUGGUUAUAAAUGAUCCCUCCAUUUCUGGCCAUUGGCUUAGGAAACAAUACCCACUAUUGGUUCAUAUCAAUUUGUUAUAUUGUCAUGUCAACACCAUUUGGUAGUUGGGUCGAGCUGUCAAUUGUCAAGUACUCAACUUUCAUGCACAUUGAUUGGUUCUUUACUACAAUGCCAGGUACUGAGAUUCUUAGCCAUGAUUCCCUAGUUUACUAGUAAACCUAAUUAUCAUAUGUUCCCCUAUUUCUCAAGUGUGAAACUUCUGCAAAACAGUUUUGCAAUUUAGUAGUUUGCAGAUGUAUAUUUCAUAAAUAGAUAAAAUCCCUUUACAUUUUUUGGCACUUCUUAAGUUUAGCUUGCAGAGAAUCUACAAAAUUGGAUUUUAGUGUUUUUUGUCACACUUGCAGAUGAAUCAUUUCAUGGAGUUAACAAUGAACUACGGGAGCUUCCACUUGUUGAGCUAUCCACUCUCCCUUUGAUAUUAAAGGAAAUAAUCAAAGAACUGAUGGAAAGACUACCACACAUGAAAGAGCUUAUGGAUAUGUAUUGUGGCCCUGAUAGAGUGAUUGCAAAGUAACAAAUGCAGGAGUUAGACAGAGUCGCAAAAACUCUAUCAGAGAAUAUACCUUCAUCUGUGAAGAGGUUCACUGAUCGUGCCGUUCUUUCACUUCAAGUUUUCUUUUUUUCAACUAAGUUUAGUUUCCUGUAAAUCUUAUAAUGUGUCAUUCUCUGAAAUGGAAAACACUGAAUAUGAAAAACUAGAAUAUUUAAACAGGCCUUUGAGCGUUGACUUGGAAAUAGAAAUGAAUGUAAUUAUUUUGCAAUGGGAGCAAAUUCUUUGUUUAUCAUAA
This is an RNA transcript of Asparagus officinalis (garden asparagus), 2078 nucleotides long. RefSeq lists it as uncharacterized. NCBI's taxonomy places the organism in Eukaryota, Viridiplantae, Streptophyta, Magnoliopsida, Asparagales, Asparagaceae. The record is from RefSeq and is a predicted model, not a curated record. The transcript has 9 exons.